GAUGAACGCUGGCGGCGUGCCUAAUACAUGCAAGUCGAGCGAACGGACGCUACGCUUGCUUCUCUGAUGUUAGCGGCGCACGGGUGAGUCACACGUGUAUCCCCUCCCUAUAUUACUGGUAUCACUUCGGGACACCGGAUCUUAUCCCGUAUAAUCUUUUGCACCGCAUUGUUCAAAAGUGAAUUUCGGUCUUUCUGUCACUUCUCGCUGGAUCCCGGCUUCAUUAGCUAGUUGUUAAGGUAACGGCUUACCAAGGCAACGAUGCCUAGCCGACCUGAGAGGGGGAUCGGCGACACUGGAACUGAGACACGGUCAAGACGCCUACGGGAGGCAGCAGUAGGGAAUGGGCCGCAAUGGGGGAAAGCAUGACGGAGCAAGGGCGAGGGAGUGAUGAAGGUCUUGGGAUCGUAAAACUCUGUUAUUAGGGAAGAACAUAUGUGGAAGGAAAUGAGGAGAGAGUGACGGUAACGAAUAAGAAAGCAACGGCUAACUACGUG
RNAcentral lists this ribosomal RNA (497 nucleotides) under uncultured bacterium. RNAcentral describes it as "partial 16S ribosomal RNA". It matches the Rfam family "Bacterial small subunit ribosomal RNA", at positions 28 to 507 of the family's 1533-position model. The record is from RNAcentral.